CAGAUACAGUUUACAUGACCUUUUGUGGAUUGCUAAUACAUGGAAUGUCUGUUUUUUCACAAAAUCAUGGUAUUUUUUGUUAAAACACCCCUGCUAUAUGCCCUUUCAGAUAACAAUUGACAACUUCUAAUACUUUACUUUCAUCUUCCUGAAACACUUCAUGUUGUAGAUGGAUGUAGAUUUUAAAACCUCCAACUGCUUGCAAGAAAUU
Non-coding RNA from Pelobates cultripes (western spadefoot toad), 211 nucleotides. Lineage: Eukaryota; Metazoa; Chordata; Amphibia; Anura; Pelobatidae. The record is from the annotation of a GenBank genome assembly.